GCCAUGCNGCGUGNAGGAAGANUGCCCUAUGGGUUGUAAACUGCUUUUAUACAGGAAGAAACACUGCUACGUGUAGCANCUUGNCGGUACUGUAAGAAUAAGGAUCGGCUAACUCCGUGCCAGCAGCCGCGGUAAUACGGAGGAUCCAAGCGUUAUCCGGAAUCAUUGGGUUUAAAGGGUCCGUAGGUGGAUAAUUAAGUCAGAGGUGAAAUCCUGCAGCUCAACUGUAGAAUUGCCUUUGAUACUGGUUAUCUUGAGUUAUUAUGAAGUAGUUAGAAUAUGUAGUGUAGCGGUGAAAUGCAUAGAUAUUACAUAGAAUACCAAUUGCGAAGGCAGAUUACUAAUAAUAUACUGACACUGAUGGACGAAAGCGUGGGGAGCGAACAGGAUUAGAUACCCUGGUAG
RNAcentral lists this ribosomal RNA (405 nucleotides) under Formosa sp. Asnod1C02. RNAcentral's name for it is "bacterial SSU rRNA". It matches the Rfam family "Bacterial small subunit ribosomal RNA", at positions 391 to 793 of the family's 1533-position model. Lineage: Bacteria; Pseudomonadati; Bacteroidota; Flavobacteriia; Flavobacteriales; Flavobacteriaceae. The record is from RNAcentral.